Transfer RNA from Lachnoclostridium sp. An76, 73 nucleotides. It matches the Rfam family "tRNA". Rfam says of the family: Transfer RNA (tRNA) molecules are approximately 80 nucleotides in length. Their secondary structure includes four short double-helical elements and three loops (D, anti-codon, and T loops). Further hydrogen bonds mediate the characteristic L-shaped molecular structure. tRNAs have two regions of fundamental functional importance: the anti-codon, which is responsible for specific mRNA codon recognition, and the 3' end, to which the tRNAs corresponding amino acid is attached (by aminoacyl-tRNA synthetases). tRNAs cope with the degeneracy of the genetic code in two manners: having more than one tRNA (with a specific anti-codon) for a particular amino acid; and 'wobble' base-pairing, i.e. permitting non-standard base-pairing at the 3rd anti-codon position. The record is from Rfam. NCBI's taxonomy places the organism in Bacteria, Bacillati, Bacillota, Clostridia, Lachnospirales, Lachnospiraceae.
GCGACAGUGGCUCAGUUGGUAGAGUACGACCUUGCCAAGGUCGGGGUCGCGGGUUCGAACCCCGUCUGUCGCU